UUCCCCCCCUGAGUACUUCGCCGAUAGCGAGGACGACGCAAGUUCAGAGGAAGCUGCAGGGCCCAGCGGUUCCCGCAGACAUCCACCAGCGACAACUGCUUUCGUGGUGUCGGGCCCUGCAGCUGUUGCUGGGCCAAGUGGCCUUACACAGCCACCGGCUACCCCCCCGGUGCUGCGGCCUACCCCCCAGGUGCCUCGGCCUACCACCCAGGUGCCGC
Dermacentor andersoni is the source of this 218-nucleotide long non-coding RNA. RefSeq lists it as uncharacterized. Lineage: Eukaryota; Metazoa; Arthropoda; Arachnida; Ixodida; Ixodidae. The record is from RefSeq and is a predicted model, not a curated record.